UACGGAGGGUGCGAGCGUUGUUCGGAAUCAUUGGGCGUAAAGGGCGUGUAGGCGGUCCGCUAAGUCUGAUGUGAAAGCCCGGGGCUCACCCCCGGAAGUGCAUUGGAAACUGGCGGACUCGAGUCCCGGAGAGGAGAGUGGAAUUCCUGGUGUAGCGGUGAAAUGCGUAGAUAUCAGGAGGAACACCCGUGGCGAAGGCGGCUCUCUGGCCUGUAACUGACGCUGAGGCGCGAAAGCGUGGGGAGCAAACAGG
RNAcentral lists this ribosomal RNA (253 nucleotides) under uncultured bacterium. Its description in RNAcentral is "partial 16S ribosomal RNA". It matches the Rfam family "Bacterial small subunit ribosomal RNA", at positions 524 to 776 of the family's 1533-position model. The record is from RNAcentral.